UGAGGAAUAUUGCGCAAUGGGCGAAAGCCUGACGCAGCGACACCGCGUGAAGGAUGAAGGCUUUAGGGUCGUAAACUUCUGUUAAGCGGGAAGAAAAAGGCGGUCUUAAUACGACCGCAAAAUGACGGUACCGCUAGAGAAAGCACCGGCUAACUUCGUGCCAGCAGCCGCGGUAAGACGAGGGGUGCAAACGUUAUUCGGAAUGAUUGGGCGUAAAGGGUGCGUAGGCGGCAUAUUAAGUCAAUCGUUAAAUUUCUCAGCCUAACUGGGAGUAUGCGGUAGAAACUGAUGUGCUAGAGGAUGGAAGAGAGAAGUGGAAUUCUCGGAGUAGCGGUAAAAUGCGUAGAUCUCGAGAGGAACACCGAUGGCGAAGGCAGCUUCUUGGUCCAUUUCUGACGCUGAGGCACGAAAGCGUGGGGAGCAAACAGG
This 429-nucleotide ribosomal RNA is filed under the name uncultured bacterium. Its description in RNAcentral is "bacterial SSU rRNA". It matches the Rfam family "Bacterial small subunit ribosomal RNA", at positions 355 to 776 of the family's 1533-position model. The record is from RNAcentral.